This 504-nucleotide ribosomal RNA is filed under the name uncultured bacterium. Its description in RNAcentral is "partial 16S ribosomal RNA". It matches the Rfam family "Bacterial small subunit ribosomal RNA", at positions 29 to 523 of the family's 1533-position model. The record is from RNAcentral.
AUUGAACGCUGGUGGCAGGCCUAACACAUGCAAGUCGAGCGGUAACACAGGGAGCUUGCUCCUGGGUGACGAGCGGCGGACGGGUGAGUAAUGUCUGGGAAACUGCCUGAUGGAGGGGGAUAACUACUGGAAACGGUAGCUAAUACCGCAUAACGUCGCAAGACCAAAGAGGGGGACCUUCGGGCCUCUUGCCAUCAGAUGUGCCCAGAUAGGAUUAGCUAGUAGGUGGGGUAACGGCUCACCUAGGCGACGAUACCUAGCUGGUCUGAGAGGAGGACCGACCACACUGGAACGGGGACACGGGCCAGACUCCUACGGGAGGCAGCAGUGGGGAAUAUUGCACAAUGGGCGCAAGCCUGAUGCAGCCAUGCCGCGUGUACGAAGAAGGCCUUCGGGUUGUAAAGUACUUUCAGCGGGGAGGAAGUCGAUAAGGUUAAUAACCUUGUCGAUUGACGUUACCCGCGGAAGAAGCACCGGCUAACUCCGUGCCAGCCGCCGCCGUAA